This 254-nucleotide ribosomal RNA is filed under the name uncultured bacterium. Its description in RNAcentral is "partial 16S ribosomal RNA". It matches the Rfam family "Bacterial small subunit ribosomal RNA", at positions 524 to 776 of the family's 1533-position model. The record is from RNAcentral.
UACGUAGGGUGCGAGCGUUAAUCGGAAUUACUGGGCGUAAAGCGUGCGCAGGCGGUUUUGUAAGCCAGAUGUGAAAUCCCCGGGCUUAACCUGGGAAUGGCAUUUGGGACUGUAAGGCUGGAGUGCGGCAGAGGAGACUGGAAUUCCUGGUGUAGCAGUGAAAUGCGUAGAUAUCAGGAGGAACACCAAUUGCGAAGGCAGUCUCGCUGGGACGUUACUGACGCUGAGACGCGAAAGCGUGGGGAGCAAACAGG